GAACCCCGUAUAGAUUUUGGAGAUAUAAGGGAGAGCUCCACCUUUUGAAGUUUACCUAGCGACGAUUCAGGAGCUGGCUUCGACAGACUCACUGUGCAAAGCAACAUGAACCGUUUCUUUGGUGUGGAUCUUCUGGUGGUUGCCGCAAUCGUAAUUGCUUUGAUCGUCAUGGUUCCGAAUGAAGCUUCUUGCCUCGGCGGCGCUAUUGGAGGAAUCAAAGCUCCCGAUAUGUCGGGCAGGAAGUGAAUUACUGCGCAUCCUGAAUCAAGAUACUGCACCCCUCUCAUGCUCUGCAUGACCGCCUCAUCUGCAAUAAAAUGCCUCUUGAAGA
This is a long non-coding RNA of Dermacentor andersoni, 331 nucleotides long. RefSeq lists it as uncharacterized. The record is from RefSeq and is a predicted model, not a curated record. Lineage: Eukaryota; Metazoa; Arthropoda; Arachnida; Ixodida; Ixodidae.